This 467-nucleotide ribosomal RNA is filed under the name uncultured bacterium. RNAcentral describes it as "partial 16S ribosomal RNA". It matches the Rfam family "Bacterial small subunit ribosomal RNA", at positions 28 to 507 of the family's 1533-position model. The record is from RNAcentral.
GAUGAACGCUGGCGGCGUGCUUAACACAUGCAAGUCGAACGGAAAGGCCCAAGCUUGCUUGGGUACUCGAGUGGCGAACGGGUGAGUAACACGUGGGUGAUCUGCCCUGCACUUCGGGAUAAGCCUGGGAAACUGGGUCUAAUACCGGAUAGGACCACAUUUUGGAUGGUGUGGUGGAAAGUUUUUCGGUGUGGGAUGAGCUCGCGGCCUAUUAGCUUGUUGGUGGGGUAAUGGCCUACCAAGGCGUCGACGGGUAGCCGGCCUGAGAGGGUGUACGGCCACAUUGGGACUGAGAUACGGCCCAGACUCCUACGGGAGGCAGCAGUGGGGAAUAUUGCACAAUGGGCGCAAGCCUGAUGCAGCGACGCCGCGUGGGGGAUGACGGCCUUCGGGUUGUAAACUCCUGUCGCUAGGGACGAAGCGUUUUUGUGACGGUACCUGGAGAAGAAGCACCGGCUAACUACGUG